AGUGAAGCGGGAUGAGCUCAAAUUUAAAAUCUGGCGGCUUUGCCGUCCGAGUUGUAAUCUGGAGAAGCGUUUUCCGCGUCGGACCGUGUACAAGUCUCUUGGAACAGAGCUUCAUAGAGGGUGAGAAUCCCGUCCAUGACACGGACCGCCGAUGCUUUGUGAUACGCUCUCGAAGAGUCGAGUUGUUUGGGAAUGCAGCUCAAAAUGGGUGGUAAAUUCCAUCUAAAGCUAAAUAUUGGCGAGAGACCGAUAGCGAACAAGUACCGUGAGGGAAAGAUGAAAAGCACUUUGGAAAGAGAGUAAAACAGUACGUGAAAUUGUUGAAAGGGAAACGCUUGAAGUCAGUCGCGUUUGCCGGGACUCAGCCUUGCUUCUGCUCGGUGUACUUCCCGGUAGACGGGUCAACAUCGAUUUUGGCCGACGGAUAAAGGGGUUGGGAAUGUGGCACUCUUCGGGGUGUGUUAUAGCCCUUCUUCCGCAUACGCCGGCCGGGAUCGAGGACCGCAGCGCGCCUUAAUGGCCGGGGGCUCGCCCCACGUUACGCGCUUAGGAUGUUGGCAUAAUGGCUUUUAAGCGACCCGUCUUGAAACACGGACCAAGGAGUCUAACAUGCUCGCGAGUGUUAGGGUGGAAAACCCUUGCGCGUAAUGAAAGUGAAAGUUGGGACUCUCGCGAGGGAGGCACCGACGCCCGGCCCUGAAGUUCUCUGACGGUGCUGCGGUAGAGCGCGUAUGUUGGGACCCGAAAGAUGGUGAACUAUGCCUGAAUAGGGCGAAGCCAGAGGAAACUCUGGUGGAGGCUCGUAGCGAUUUCUGACGUGCAAAUCGAUCGUCAAAUUUGG
RNAcentral lists this ribosomal RNA (841 nucleotides) under Schizopora radula. RNAcentral's name for it is "LSU rRNA". It matches the Rfam family "Eukaryotic large subunit ribosomal RNA", at positions 92 to 914 of the family's 3401-position model. The record is from RNAcentral. Lineage: Eukaryota; Fungi; Basidiomycota; Agaricomycetes; Hymenochaetales; Schizoporaceae.